CUCACCGUUAAAACGGUGGGUUAUUAUCAACCGUCCCUCCGGGACU
Molecule: small RNA, 46 nt
Filed under: Candidatus Vecturithrix granuli
Lineage: Bacteria; Candidatus Moduliflexota; Candidatus Vecturitrichia; Candidatus Vecturitrichales; Candidatus Vecturitrichaceae
Description: Acido-Lenti-1 RNA
Rfam family: Acido-Lenti-1 RNA
Source: Rfam by way of RNAcentral